CAGGACGAACGCUGGCGGCGUGCCUAAUACAUGCAAGUAGAACGCUGAGGACUGGUGCUUGCACUGGUCUAAGGAGUUGCGAACGGGUGAGUAACGCGUAGGUAACCUACCUCAUAGCGGGGGAUAACUAUUGGAAACGAUAGCUAAUACCGCAUGACAAUAGGGUACACAUGUACCCUAUUUAAAAGGGGCAAAUGCUUCACUAUGAGAUGGACCUGCGUUGUAUUAGCUAGUUGGUAAGGUAACGGCUUACCAAGGCGACGAUACAUAGCCGACCUGAGAGGGUGAUCGGCCACACUGGGACUGAGACACGGCCCAGACUCCUACGGGAGGCAGCAGUAGGGAAUCUUCGGCAAUGGGGGGAACCCUGACCGAGCAACGCCGCGUGAGUGAAGAAGGUUUUCGGAUCGUAAAGCUCUGUUGUUAGAGAAGAACGGUAAUGGGAGUGGAAAAUCCAUUACGUGACGGUAACUAACCAGAAAGGGACGGCUAACUACGUGCCAGCAGCCGC
Molecule: ribosomal RNA, 511 nt
Filed under: uncultured bacterium
Lineage: Bacteria
Description: bacterial SSU rRNA
Rfam family: Bacterial small subunit ribosomal RNA
Source: RNAcentral